Molecule: non-coding RNA, 30 nt
Filed under: Homo sapiens (human)
Lineage: Eukaryota; Metazoa; Chordata; Mammalia; Primates; Hominidae
Source: RNAcentral
GCACAAUCCACAUAGGUCUGCAUGGUCCAC